CUGACUGUGUUUUGUACUUAUUUUACUUGUUUGUUAAGUUGACUGGCUGGCUGUUUUGGUUGGUUCGUAAGUUCGUUCAUAUCGUUCGUUGUGUUCAAACGUUCUUUGGCUCAAUAACUGACUGCCUGCCUGCCUUGCUAGCCCGCCAGUUAGUCAGUCAGGCUGUUGUGUUUAAUGGUUUGGUUGUUUGCUUGCUUUGCUUACUUGCCAGCCAAACUGAAUGACUGACUGAUUCGUCUCAAUGGUGUACGGGAGGCAAGUGAAUUUAGCGACCGAACUAAAAAUGCUUGUAGAAAAAACAACUUACGAGCUCACAAAAAUAACAGAGAACAAACAGAAACAACUAUGGCAGCCAGGCAGGCCAGUCACAAGUACACUGUGAGCAGUGGAAAAAAUACUAAAAUGUUACGACAACACAACGUUGUAUUGGGGAUUUUUUUGUAUGAGCUGGUUGGUCCGCUUGUUUUCAGAAAACAACAUAUGAACGUAGAAAUAGUUGCUGUAGUCGUUCGUCGUAGCAGUUAAAUUUUAAUACAAGUUUAUAUGUUUGUUAAAUCCCUGUGUUUGUCAGUCCGUCCGUCUGUCUAUCUAUCUGUUUCUGUACGUUUUAAAUUGUUCAUUCCAUGAACAUUUUUUCUUUUCAUAACUUGGUUGUGUGCUUUGGCUUUGGCUUCUCUAUAACAAACGUACGUUUCUUUUAACUUGUGCAUUUUUUUCUUGCUGGAUUUUAUAUUACAAUUUUUUUGCCGCCAAAUCCAAAUGAAUGAGUUUUAUACAGGGAACCGAACCAGCAACUAACAGUAAUAGAGCACCUAGCUCUAGCCAGGCAGGCAGUCACAGCAACUGAAAUUAUGUUUGGUACUCUACUACCUAUAUAAGAGUAUGAAAAAGAAGAAAAUCUCAUAAAAAAUGUCUAUUACCCCCAAACCAACCAACCAACCUCCAACCUUAAGCAAACUUUUGCCAUCAUAGUCAUAGUCUUCGUCGUCGUCAUUAUCAUCAUCAUCAAACUUACUUACAAACUGAUUAACUAACGCACAUAUUUCUGGUAAUCGAAGGAAGUUAAGUUUCUCAACAGCAGCAGCAGUAAUAUUAACUACCAGAUAUCUGUGUCUGUGUCAUAUGUAGAGAAGAAAAGCUGUAAAAGUGAUAUUCAUGCAGUCAUCGCGGAAGAUGAGAAAAACAUUGAUGGAACUAGUACGAGGUUACUAGAAGCGCACAACAGGAUCGAUAGGUCACUAUCAACCAAUUAUUUUCGAAACUAUUAAUGAAAGUUAUCGAUUACUUCUGGUUUUGACUUUAGUACCUGAAUUAGGAGUUGCCAGAUUAAGUGAGAUUGGAUAGACAAACAUUGAAUAUAUGGUAACCUUGUGAGACCAAGGUGAAGAAACAGGCGCAAACUUAGAAAGUUGAGUAGCGUUUAUGAUUGCAAUCAUUAUUUCUGGCAACUACAAGCAGAAACAAAAACAAUAACAAAGACAACAAUGUCAUACUUUGCUAGACGUCAACAUCAUUAUAAACACAUGUAUAAAAUUGUCAAUAAUAAAAAUCAACAACAGCAGCAACAACAUACAUUAUAUUAAUAAAGAG
Long non-coding RNA from Lucilia sericata (common green bottle fly), 1590 nucleotides. RefSeq lists it as uncharacterized. Lineage: Eukaryota; Metazoa; Arthropoda; Insecta; Diptera; Calliphoridae. The transcript has 3 exons. The record is from RefSeq and is a predicted model, not a curated record.